Melitaea cinxia (Glanville fritillary) is the source of this 265-nucleotide long non-coding RNA. RefSeq lists it as uncharacterized. The record is from RefSeq and is a predicted model, not a curated record. Lineage: Eukaryota; Metazoa; Arthropoda; Insecta; Lepidoptera; Nymphalidae. The transcript has 3 exons.
AGCAAGUUAAAAUUUUUUUUUAAGGCUAGGUAUUCCUGCAAAAGUAGGCAUUUAGCGCUGAGCCGGCCGCGCGUAAUAAUACUUCGCGCGGACACUGCGGCAGUGAACUCGCAUUGCAAACGUGACCCCGCCGUCAGUGACACAGUGCAGAAUUAAGCAGUAGGAUAAUUUUAUUUGGCUUUAAAAUAGAAAGGCAUUUAUUAUGAUCAUUUUUUAUAGUAGUAAUAAAUAAUAUCUAGUUUCGUAAAUAAAUGAAAGUAAAGGA